UGGGGAAUUUUGCACAAUGGGGGAAACCCUGAUGCAGCGACGCCGCGUGAUUUAGAAGGCCUUCGGGUUGUAAAAAUCUUUUCUAUGGGAAGAAAAUGACAGUACCAUAGGAAUAAGGACCGGCUAAUUACGUGCCAGCAGCCGCGGUAAUACGUAAGGUCCGAGCGUUGUCCGGAAUCAUUGGGCGUAAAGGGUACGUAGGCGGGUAAGCAAGUUAGAAGUGAAAUCCUAUAGCUCAACUAUAGUAAGCUUUUAAAACUGCUCAUCUUGAGGUAUGGAAGGGAAAGUGGAAUUCCUAGUGCAGCGGUGAAAUGCGCAGAUAUUAGGAGGAAUACCGGUGGCGAAGGCGACUUUCUGGCCAUAACCUGACGCUGAGGUACGAAAGCGUGGGUAGCAAACAGG
RNAcentral lists this ribosomal RNA (402 nucleotides) under bacterium. Its description in RNAcentral is "partial 16S ribosomal RNA". It matches the Rfam family "Bacterial small subunit ribosomal RNA", at positions 355 to 776 of the family's 1533-position model. The record is from RNAcentral.